GCGGUGUGCUCAGAGCAGGGGGCCUGAAGAAAUGGCUCAUCUGUUUAUAACACACCCGACAGGAACCUGGUUCACUGUGACGAGCGGCACAAAACGUGUGGCCUUCCUAUGGGCAGAAACCCGACAUGU
Cervus hanglu yarkandensis (Yarkand deer) is the source of this 129-nucleotide small nucleolar RNA. The record is from Ensembl. Lineage: Eukaryota; Metazoa; Chordata; Mammalia; Artiodactyla; Cervidae.